AAGAGUUUCUCUAACCAAAUUUAUUAGCUACAAAUAUAGCAACAUAAUACAUAAAUUUAUUUUUGUAGCUAAAUUUGUUGCUAACUGUAGCAAUCUGUAGCUAAAUAGCUAUAGAAAAAUUUUGUAGGUGGUCUGUAGCUGAAUAGCUACGUCUUGGUUAGAGAUUGAUUAGCUACAUAUAUUUAUAUCCUCACAAUGCUACAAAUAGGAAAAAUAAUCAAAUUAAUAUAAAUUAUAAUAUUUCGUAUAUAUAUAUAUAUAUAAUGUAUGUAUUAAUAAGAUGAUUAUCGAUUAAUUUUACAAUGCAAAUUGAAUUUUAUGUUUUAAGAUAAACUUUUGAUGCACAUAUAUUAACAGCAGUAGUUCGGUAAAAUUAAUGGCUAGACACAUAUGCUGGUUUAAGUUUAGUCACUUAUAGUAAUUGUCAAGGAUCUUUUGUUAGGUUUAUAUUGAACAUUAUAGCUCUACUUAUAUAGUUUAUGUUAAUUGUGACAUUUCAUCGGUAUGUAUAACAAGGUCAAGAAUGUUUAAUUUUUUUCAAGUUAAGUUUUUAAAAUGGUAUGGAAGUUUUAUUAUUUGAGGAUACAUAUAUGACCAAUUUCUUGUCUGAUUUUUCUAUUCCAAUUUUAACUUUAACCCUAAACCUCAAAUCCUAAACCUCAAACCCUAAACCCUAUAAUAUACUCUCAUAUGUUAAAAGAGUUAAAACAAGCUAAUUUUUUAUUAGAAAUAAAAAGAAUUUUUACUUUAAAAAAAAAAACUCAUGCCUUAUACACUUUUAUCCUUUUAUCAAUUUAUUAUGUUGAUAUGUUUUUAUUUUCUUUGAAUAAUUAUGUGACGUUCAAUCAAUUACCAUAUGUACGCAAACUUAUUUAUAUAUAUUGAUAUAUUGGAGUUUAAUAAAUUUUAUUAUAAAGUUUGAAUUUGAAAAUGUUAUAACAUCGCUGCAUAUUGAAUUUUCCUAACAAUAUAUAGAUAAGUCUAGAAAAAACAUCGAAAUUAAUAAAAACCUGUCAAGGUCCCUAAAUCACGAGUGCUUGGCGGUGGAGAGAAAAAUUUUCACGCCAAAUUUUUGUAAUGGCGCCCGAAAUUUUCUCCAAAAUAUUCAAUUACUGCCAUAAAAUAAUUUCCCAAAUUUCUCCGCCAAAAUAUUUCUACACUUUCCUUUUAACUCUUCUUCUCCGUGGAAACAAACACUCUCAUCGCCGACAAAGACCAACCCUAUCCCACUUCUCAUUCACGACAAAUUACCAGAGCUUCUCUUAAUGGGCUCUAGUAUGCAUCCACCAAGAAAAGGCAAUUUCCCUACAAAAGCUACUAUUGGACAAGGCGCAACAACUUUCGUGAAGAACACAUCUUAGGCAGAUCAUGUAGAUGGGUGAGGAGCCAGCAAUACUGACUUAGAGGGGAAGAUCCACAUGAAUACUGUUGAAUAAAGUUGAGUCUAUUGUUAUUGUUAAGAUUCUGUAUUUCCCUUGCGACUCUUUUUGUGUUAUUGCUUAUUGGUAAAUGUUUGAUUACCUUUUUCUUUUGUUAUGGCUAUGUGGCAGUGUUAUGCUUUAUUGUAAGUUUAGUAAUUGUGUUUCUUGUUCUCUGGUUUCUUAGGCAGUCAAGCCACACAAAAGAUGUUUGUUUGGACGUGGAACAACACAAAUGGAGAACAAUUAUCACAUUGAUCCACCAGGCCGUCAUUCUUACUCGUCAAUCUUGUUCAGAGAAGGAGUUGAUUAGUUUGACUGAAACUGUCUACUUGAUGAGCUAGCAGCUCACUGCUUUGUGUGAAGCUAGAGGAGUGGCAAGCACUGAUGCAACUACCAAUCCUUCUCCAUCCUCACCUCCUAGCACCAAUGAGCAGAGAAUCUAGAUGAUGUUGAUGACUUUCUACAAUCAACUGAAGACAUAACAACUGGAAUCUUUUGUGUUUAGUUUGAACUUUUAUUAUGUCAUUAGUUUCCACCUAUUGGAUUUAAUAUUUUGUUUUCUACUAGUAACGAAUGCAAUGUUUCUAUUCUGUUUUGGGAAUUUCAGAUUUUUUUAUGCUGUAAUGUUUUAAAAUCAAUUUGGAUAAUACAAAACGAAAA
Brassica napus (rape) is the source of this 2081-nucleotide long non-coding RNA. RefSeq lists it as uncharacterized. Lineage: Eukaryota; Viridiplantae; Streptophyta; Magnoliopsida; Brassicales; Brassicaceae. The record is from RefSeq and is a predicted model, not a curated record. The transcript is spliced from 3 exons.